This is a long non-coding RNA of Physella acuta, 1128 nucleotides long. RefSeq lists it as uncharacterized. The record is from RefSeq and is a predicted model, not a curated record. NCBI's taxonomy places the organism in Eukaryota, Metazoa, Mollusca, Gastropoda, Physidae.
AUUGGCCCGUCGCUGACAAAUAUAUCAAGGAUUAACAUCCCAGAUCUUAUCAAACGUGGCCAUAUUGUGAAAAAUCGUGUUUCAUCCACUGGAAAGUUACUUGAGCAAGCCGGUAAUAUCAGGACUCAUUCGGUGGCUAGGUCUACGUCUUGGGCACCAGAUCUUCUACUGGAGACUAUGUUAGUGGCUUUUGCCUACGCCACCGUUGGUUUCGUCCUAUCCUAGGAGAGGCUACUUAAUGACCAUUCUACAUAUUCAUCAUUUGUUAAAGAUGAAUUCUUUGUUAUAUAUAUUUACUAUUAAUGUUUUAAAUUGACAAAAGAACAUUGCAAAGAAAAACUUUUACAAAUUUUACAGUUUUAUUUUGUUUUGUUAUUUUAUUAGCGGUUUCACUUUACUUCACACAGAAAUAAUCUGAAUAAUGGUUUGUGUUUUUUUGGUAUUAAAAAGAAAAUAGUACCCAAAAAUUGUUUUAUCAGUUCAUUAGAAAAUAUAUUUACGGGUAUUCAACCUUUUUGUUAAUUAUAUAGCUAAUUCAGUAAUUAAUUUGCUGAACAGUAUUUGUGUACAUUUUACAUCAAAUAGUGCAACAAUUUUGUUUUAAUCUUUUCUAGUUUUCCUGAUGAUUUAAAUGUUUGUCAGCACCUCUUUCAUACAUUUUAAAACUAUAAAUUUCUCUUGCUGAUAGUACAUUCGGAAUUAGAAAGGAACAACGUCUCUACAACAAGCAAGUGUCUUCAAUGCAAAUUUAAAUUACUUCAUUAGGUAGGUAAAAGACCAGAGCUGGGUGAAGUCAAAUGGCUAAAGCUAAUAUGUUAAUAUUAUGUAAAAAAACGAGGAUUUUUUUCGUCAGAGAAAACAUAAUCACAACUCACAACAAAAAAGUAUUUUAAAAAGAUACAUUUUAAUCUUCCAAAUAUAUUUUGGCUUCUACUGUCUUAAUUAAUGAACUUAAAAAAUAAUAUGCACAAUGUCCAAUAUAGAAUUUGUUUUUGAGAGAUUGUAAACUUUGUAUUGCAGUAUUUCUUUUUUAAAAAUGUUUUUUAAAGAUAUUUUAAGUAAUGUUAAUAAAUAAGUUAAUACAUUUUGCUGUUGGGAAUAUUUUAUUUUUAUUAAACAUUAAUAAUU